Molecule: ribosomal RNA, 329 nt
Filed under: uncultured eukaryote
Lineage: Eukaryota
Description: partial 18S ribosomal RNA
Rfam family: Eukaryotic small subunit ribosomal RNA
Source: RNAcentral
CCCUUAGAUGUCCUGGGCCGCACGCGCGCUACACUGAGUGUCUGAGAUACGAGUCUGCCUGGUCCGGCAAGGUCUAGGUAAUCGCUAAAAGACACAUCAUGCUUGGGAUAGAUUAUUGCAAAUAUUAAUCUUGAACGAGGAAUUCCUAGUAAGCGCAAGUCAACAGCUUGCGUUGAUUACGUCCCUGCCCUUUGUACACACCGCCCGUCGCUACUACUGAUUGGAUGUUUAAGCGAGGUUCUCGAACUGCUAGCGACUUAGCUUCGGUGAGGUCGCAGUGUGGGAAGUGAACCGAGCCUUGGUGUCUAGAGGAAGUAAAAGUCGUAACA